AGCAGCCGCGGUAAUUCCAGCUCCAAUAGCGUAUAUUAAAGUUGUUGCAGUUAAAAAGCUCGUAGUUGAAUUUCAGGCCUGGCUGGGCGGUCCGCCUUUUGGGUGAGUACUGCCUGUGGUCGGGUCCUACCUUCUGGCGAAGCGUCGUGGCCUUAACCGGCCGUGGCGGGGAACCAGGACUUUUACUGUGAAAAAUUAGAGUGUUCAAAGCAGGCAGUCGCUUGGAUACAUUAGCAUGGAAUAAUGGGAUAGGACAGUGGUUCUAUUUGUUGGUUUCUAGGACCGUUGUAAUGAUUAAUAGGGAUAGUUGGGGGCAUUAGUAUUCAAUUGUCAGAGGUGAAAUUCUUGGAUUUAUUGAAGACUAACUACUGCGAAAGCAUUUGCCAAGGAUGUUUUCAUUAAUCAAGAACGAAAGUUAGGGGAUCGAAGACGAUCAGAUACCGUCGUAGUCUUAACCAUAAACUAUGCCGACUAGGAAUCGGGCGAUGUUGACAAAAUGACGCGCUCGGCA
This 511-nucleotide ribosomal RNA is filed under the name uncultured Paraglomus. Its description in RNAcentral is "SSU rRNA". It matches the Rfam family "Eukaryotic small subunit ribosomal RNA", at positions 569 to 1085 of the family's 1831-position model. Lineage: Eukaryota; Fungi; Glomeromycota; Glomeromycetes; Paraglomerales; Paraglomeraceae. The record is from RNAcentral.